Molecule: long non-coding RNA, 3756 nt
Filed under: Homo sapiens (human)
Lineage: Eukaryota; Metazoa; Chordata; Mammalia; Primates; Hominidae
Description: HSALNT0062674
Source: RNAcentral
GUGGUGCUAGUGGUUGGUUCUUUAGUGGCAUUUAAAUAGAAUAGAUAUCCACCUGGAAUUACUGAGGGAAAACCAGUCUGUCUGCCUGUCAGUCUCUGUCUCUGUCUGUCUGUCUGUGUCUGUCUCUGUCUGUCUGUCUCUCUUUCUCUCUCUCUCUCUCUCACACACACACAGACACAUACACACACAUGCAGAGGCAAUAAACAACAGAAAAACAGGACAGAAUUCAUACAGAUUUUUCUGUAUUUUAAAGAGCAUUUCAAAGUUCAAAAAAUACAAUUCAAAAACAAACAUGGAAAAACAUUCAUCCCUGCUAUCAAAAAAUGUUAAUCAAACCAACAUUAACUUAUCAUUCUAUAGCUACCAUAUUAGCACUAAAAGUGAUCCAUUUAAUAACUAAUCAUUUGUUCACUGUUUUGUUAAUUAUAAACUGAAACAAAUCUUUUAUAUAGCAUUAUGGAGAUAUGUUUCAAAAGCCAUGAAAAUAUUUUAUCCAAUGGCUCAAUAAUAAGUAAAUAAUUCAGAAAAAACAUAUACAUGGAUUUUGUUCACCAAAUACUUUGUACUUUUUUCAUUCUUGCUAAAGCAAAACAUUGAAGACUCUGAUCACCAAAUUAAUCUCACAUUUAAAAAAUUCAAAUAUGGCAUUUAAAUGCUAUAAAAUGUUAAUAUAAAUAAGGGUAGAUUUUGAAUCAGUGAGACUUUUUGCCAUUUAUGAAUCUAUAAGCAGCAUUUACUAGCUCAAAUUAUGAAUGUCAAAUAGUUUUUAGACUACACCAAGAGUAACAUAAUUUUCCAGGUUAUGUAGGAGAAAAUUAAAGAAAGUUAAAAGAAUUGACUCUCAAAUGAAAAUCACUUCACAAAUUCAAUUUAAUUCAAAUUAGCACUAAAACUAAGUGAGCAUGAUUUCAUGUAUAUUAACAAUGUAUUACUAAUUAAUAUUUUUAGUAUCUUUACAAAGGUACUUCUUCUAAAGAAGUAACAUUUCCAGAAAAAAAAUACGGCACGAUAAUUGUAAUAAAUUUUAUUCUACCUCAAAAAGGAAAAAUCCAGCAAACGUUAAAAAGCAUGUUGUUUUACUUCUUCACAUUCUCUUUCCUUUUAUCAUAGACUCUCAAAAUCAUAAAGUAUCAAAAAAAGGUCUUUAUUUUGAGCUUUCUGAGGGUAGGUUUUGUCCACUACAAAAACUUAGCACAAUACCUAGGAAAUAUAGUAUCUAUUCAUACAAGGAAAUGAAUUAAUCUGAAAUGUUACUAAUCCAAGCACCCACCCAUAUUUCAAUCUCAUUAAUAGCGUCUCAAAUCCUUGUUAACACCUUCAAGGAAGAAAACACAAUUGUCAAAGUCAUCCAGCACAUCUUUGGUCAGCUAUACUUCUUAAGAGCUAGUGGAAAUUUAUCUCUCUGAUAUUCAGAUAUUAAUCCAAUGUUUAAUUCACUGGGGUUCUGUGGUAGAAUUUUAUCCUGGUUCACAUAAAGUCCUUGCAAUAUCCAGAUCCAGACUGAAAGAAGGGAUCAAAUUAGGUGACCCAACUUUUCCACUCAGAUAUAUAUUCAACAGACUUGACAACGUAUGUCCACACAAAAACCUGUACAUGAAUGUUCACAGCAGCGUUAUUCGUAACAGCCCCCAAAAAGCAAAUGACCCAAAUUUCCAUCAACUGAUGAAUAUAUAAACAAAAUGUGGUAUAGUCAUACAACGAUAUAUUAUUUGGCAAUAAGAAGAAAUGAAAUACUGAUAAUGCUACAACAUGAAUGAAUCUUGAAAACAUUACGCCAAAUGAAAGAAGCCAGUCACAAAGGUCACAUAUAUGAUUCCCUUUAUAUGAAAUGUCCAGAACAGAUAACAGACAAAUCAAUAGAGACAGAAAUAUUAGUUGCCACAGCAUGCUUGGAAGAGAGAAAUGGAGAAUAAUUGCUAAUAGGUUUGGGGUUUCUUCUUGGGGUGCCGAAAAUGUUCUGAAAUUAGAUAGUGGUUAUAGUUGCACAACUCUUUUUUCCUUUUUUUUUUUUUUGAGACGGAGUUUCACUUUUGUCACACAGGCUGCAGUGCAAUGACGCUAUCUCGGCUCACCACAACCUCCGCCUCUUGGGUUCGUUCAAGCAUUCUCCCGUCUCAGCCUCCCGAAUAGCUGGGAUUAUAGGCAUGUGCCACCACACCUGGCUAAUUUUGUAUUUUUAGUAGAGACCGGGUUUCUCCAUGUUGGUCAGGCUGGUCAGAACUCCCGACCACAGGUGAUCUGCCCGCCUCAGUCUCCCAAAGUGCUGGGAUUACAGGUGUAAGCCACCGUGCCCAGCCCUUUUUUUUUUUCUUUUUCUUUUCUUUCUUUUUUUUUUUUUUUUUUUUUUUUGAGGUGGAGUCUCGCUCUGCCGCCCAGGCUGGAGUGCAGGGGCUCAAUCUCAGCUCACUACAACCUCCACCUCCUGGGUUCAAGCAAUUCUCCCUGCCUCAGACUCCCAAGUAGCUGAGAUUACAGGGGUUCGCCACCACAGCCAGCUAAUUUUUGUAUUUUUAGUAGAGACUGGGUUUCGCCAUGUUGGCUAGGCUUGUCUCAAACUCCUGACCUCAGGUGAUCCACCCGCCUCAGCCUCCCAAAGUGCUGGGAUUACAGGCAUGAGACACCGUGCCUGGCCAAUAGUUGCACAACUCUGUUGAUACACUAAAAAACACUUAAAUGUAUACUUUAAAAAUGGUGAAUUUUAUGGUAUGUGAAUAAUAUCUCAAUAAAGCCUUUAUUAAAAAAUUGGAAAGUGUUCAAGCACAAGCUGGCUGAUUAUUUGUGUGAGUACUGUAGAAAGAAUUAUUUCUACUGAUUAUUGUACUAUAUAGUCCAAAUAUUUGAUGAUUUUUUACAAUUUCAACAGAGCUAAAUGCCGCUGACUUAAAAUGAACAAAGGAGUUAAGCAGCUCUUUAUAUUAAGACGAUUGGUCCAUUAAGAGAAUUAAAAGUAAACCUCAUCAACUGCACAAAACCAAAGCCUCCUCUCAAGAAGUCUAAUAUAAAAGGUUAAAAAAUUUGAAUAAAACAUUCAUUUAUUCCUCUACUUUAGUGAGAAACAGACUUUGAGGAGAUAUUUAAAAAGCAGACUGAGAAGUUAGCUUUGCUGACCAUAAUUCAGCCUAUAUAAUAUUAAGAUUAAAACACCUUAUUUUAAACAUACUUAGAGAUUCUCUUUGCUAAUCAGGACCUAAUUUACUUAGCCUUUUCACAUGAUCAAAUGGCAAUUUACUAUCAGAAUUACCAAUGACCUACCACAAUAGUAGUUAAGAAUUAUGCCAUAGUUAAAUAUCUAGCUAUUUUAUUAGUAUAAAUAUAAAUUUAUAUUUAAAAUAAAUAAAUUUGACUAAAUUUAUACUAAUAUGAAUUUAUACUAAUAUAUAGUAUAAAUUUAAACUAAUAUUAAUACAUCAUAGUAUUAGUAUAAAGAAAGUAUUACCAUUGUAUUAAAAUAUUAACAUUCAUUUCUUUGUGGGAAAAUAGGCAUAUCUGUACUCAAUACAUUUAAGAUUAAGAAUUAUAUAACCCAGUGUUCAAGUUAUCACUUCCUGUCUUAAAAGCUGCUAGAAACUGUUUUAAAUGACUCAUAGAUAAGAUUUUUGUGAACUAGUGAUAUUUACCACCUUUGCAAAAUUCAAAGUAUACCUAUAUUUAACCCCAAAAGAAAGACAUAUCUUUCAUGAGUACUUUUAAGUAAACUUUCAUUUUAACAGUCUAAUGAUACCUUUUGCUCCACCUUCAAAAACUGAGCCAGUUCUU